AGCUCUUUCUAGGCACCAUGCAAAAGGUGAAUUGGCAUUAGAUUAAAUCAAACACCCGUGUCUGAGUGAGUGCCAUCUUACAAAGCAAAAAGGCUAUAUAAUCAAGUUGUAUAAAGGAUUUGCAAGUUAAUACACACAGGAGCAGAUCGAAUCAUAAACCAUUAACAAAGGAAAAAAAAAUAAAGUAUAGCCGGAUUAUUGUGACAUGAAACAACAGUGAGUUUCAAGAAUCUUCAUCCGGCCAAGAAAAUUCAAUAUUGGCUCUAUGCGGCAGACGGGUCACCAUGAAUUGGUGCCUGCUGUUGACUCAGGUUCAGAGCCAUUAACAAACAAAACCAGAUUGCAAGUUAGAUACACCUGAAAGUUAUUCUCUGAAAACUUUGGAAACCCUCAAUAGAAAAAAGAGCUAAAUUCCACUUCUUUUGAAGUAUCUAGAGAUUAUACGCCUGCAAACUACAGAGUUCCUACCAAACAGAGUUACUUAGAGGCAUUGAAAU
RNAcentral lists this unclassified non-coding RNA (497 nucleotides) under Hevea brasiliensis (rubber tree). The record is from RNAcentral. Lineage: Eukaryota; Viridiplantae; Streptophyta; Magnoliopsida; Malpighiales; Euphorbiaceae.